GUAGGGAAUAUUGCGCAAUGGAGGCAACUCUGACGCAGCCAUGCCGCGUGCAGGAAGAAGGCGCUACGCGUUGUAAACUGCUUUUAACCGGGAAGAAACCCCAGGACGUGUCCUGGGUUGACGGUACCGGAGGAAUAAGCACCGGCUAACUUCGUGCCAGCAGCCGCGGUAAUACGAAGGGUGCAAGCGUUAUCCGGAUUCAUUGGGUUUAAAGGGUGCGUAGGCGGAGCGUUAAGUCAGUGGUGAAAUCCUGCAGCUUAACUGUAGACUUGCCAUUGAUACUGGCGCUCUUGAGUGCGCUUGAAGUGGGCGGAAUGUGCCGUGUAGCGGUGAAAUGCUUAGAUAUGGCACAGAACACCAAUUGCGAAGGCAGCUCACUAAGGCGAUACUGACGCUGAGGCACGAAAGCGUGGGGAUCGAACAGGAUUAGAUACCCCUGUAGUCC
RNAcentral lists this ribosomal RNA (445 nucleotides) under uncultured bacterium. Its description in RNAcentral is "partial 16S ribosomal RNA". It matches the Rfam family "Bacterial small subunit ribosomal RNA", at positions 354 to 796 of the family's 1533-position model. The record is from RNAcentral.